Molecule: ribosomal RNA, 641 nt
Filed under: uncultured bacterium
Lineage: Bacteria
Description: bacterial SSU rRNA
Rfam family: Bacterial small subunit ribosomal RNA
Source: RNAcentral
UCGACGAUGCUUUCCGGCAUAGUGGCGCACGGGUGCGUAACGCGUGGGAAUCUGCCCUCAGGUUCGGAAUAACAGUUGGAAACGACUGCUAAUACCGGAUGAUGACGUUAAGUCCAAAGAUUUAUCGCCUGAGGAUGAGCCCGCGUAGGAUUAGCUAGUUGGUGUGGUAAGAGCGCACCAAGGCGACGAUCCUUAGCUGGUCUGAGAGGAUGAUCAGCCACACUGGGACUGAGACACGGCCCANACUCCUACGGGAGGCAGCAGUGGGGAAUAUUGGACAAUGGGCGAAAGCCUGAUCCAGCAAUGCCGCGUGAGUGAUGAAGGCCUUAGGGUUGUAAAGCUCUUUUACCCGGGAUGAUAAUGACAGUACCGGGAGAAUAAGCUCCGGCUAACUCCGUGCCAGCAGCCGCGGUAAUACGGAGGGAGCUAGCGUUGUUCGGAAUUACUGGGCGUAAAGCGCACGUAGGCGGCUUUGUAAGUUAGAGGUGAAAGCCUGGAGCUCAACUCCAGAAUUGCCUUUAAGACUGCAUCGCUUGAAUCCAGGAGAGGUGAGUGGAAUUCCGAGUGUAGAGGUGAAAUUCGUAGAUAUUCGGAAGAACACCAGUGGCGAAGGCGGCUCACUGGACUGGUAUUGACGCUGA